GAUGAACGCUGGCGGCGUGCCUAAUACAUGCCAGUCGAGCGAACGGACGAGAAGCUUGCUUCUCUGAUGUUAGCGGCGGACGGGUGAGUAACACGUGGAUAACCUACCUAUAAGACUAGGAUAACUUCUGGAAACCGGAGCUAAUACCGGAUAAUAUUUUCAACCGCAUGGUUCAAAAGUGAAAGACGGUCUUGCUUGCACUUAUGGAUGGAUCCGCGCUGCAUUAGCUAGUUGGUAAGGUAACGGCUUACCAAGGCAACGAUGCAUAGCCGACCUGAGAGGGUGAUAGGCCACACUGGAACUGAGACCAGCUCCAGACUCCUACGGGAGGCAGCAGUAGGGAAUCUUCCGCAAUGGGCGAAAGCCUGACGGAGCAACGCCGCGUGAGUGAUGAAGGUCUUCGGAUCGUAAAACUCUGUUAUUAGGGAAGAACAUAUGUGUAAGUAACUGUGCACAUCUUGACGGUACCUAAUCAGAAAGCCACGGCUAACUACGUG
RNAcentral lists this ribosomal RNA (497 nucleotides) under uncultured bacterium. RNAcentral describes it as "partial 16S ribosomal RNA". It matches the Rfam family "Bacterial small subunit ribosomal RNA", at positions 28 to 507 of the family's 1533-position model. The record is from RNAcentral.